UACGUAGGGCGCAAGCGUUGUCCGGAUUUAUUGGGCGUAAAGAGCUCGUAGGCGGUCUGUCGCGUCGGAUGUGAAAACCCAGGGCUCAACCCUGGGCCUGCAUUCGAUACGGGCAGACUAGAGUGUGGCAGGGGAGACUGGAAUUCCUGGUGUAGCGGUGAAAUGCGCAGAUAUCAGGAGGAACACCGGUGGCGAAGGCGGGUCUCUGGGCCAAUACUGACGCUGAGGAGCGAAAGCGUGGGGAGCGAACAGG
Molecule: ribosomal RNA, 253 nt
Filed under: uncultured bacterium
Lineage: Bacteria
Description: partial 16S ribosomal RNA
Rfam family: Bacterial small subunit ribosomal RNA
Source: RNAcentral